This is a non-coding RNA of Bos taurus (domestic cattle), 73 nucleotides long. The record is from Rfam. NCBI's taxonomy places the organism in Eukaryota, Metazoa, Chordata, Mammalia, Artiodactyla, Bovidae.
UCCCUGGCAGUCCAGUGGUUAGGACUCCAGGCUUUUACUGCUGAGGGCCCAGGUUCGAUCCCUGGUCGGGGAA